UACAAGAGGAUAUACAGGGGACCCCCUC
RNAcentral lists this non-coding RNA (28 nucleotides) under Mus musculus (house mouse). Lineage: Eukaryota; Metazoa; Chordata; Mammalia; Rodentia; Muridae. The record is from RNAcentral.